GGAGCGGUGGCCGAGAGACUUAAGGCGGCGGUCCCGAAAACCGUUGGGCUGAAAGGUCCCGUGGGUUCAAAUCCUACCCGCUCCG
This 85-nucleotide transfer RNA is filed under the name Patescibacteria group bacterium. Its description in RNAcentral is "tRNA-Ser". It matches the Rfam family "tRNA". Rfam says of the family: Transfer RNA (tRNA) molecules are approximately 80 nucleotides in length. Their secondary structure includes four short double-helical elements and three loops (D, anti-codon, and T loops). The record is from RNAcentral.